CCUACGGGAGACAGCAGUGGGGAAUAUUGCACAAUGGGCGAAAGCCUGAUGCAGCAACGCCGCGUGAAGGAAGACGGUUUUCGGAUUGUAAACUUCUGUUCAUAGUGAAGAAUAAUGACGGUAACUAAGGAGCAAGCCACGGCUAACUACGUGCCAGCAGCCGCGGUAAUACGUAGGUGGCAAGCGUUGUCCGGAAUUACUGGGUGUAAAGGGAGCGUAGGCGGGAAGCCAAGUCAGCUGUGAAAACUACGGGCUUAACCUGUAGACUGCAGUUGAAACUGGCUUUCUUGAGUGAAGUAGAGGUUGGCGGAAUGCCGGGUGUAGCGGUGAAAUGCUUAGAUAUUCGGAGGAACUCCGAUGGCGAAGGCAGCCAACUGGGCUUUAACUGACGCUGAUGCUCGAAAGUGUGGGUAGCAAACAGGAUUAGAUACCCCGGUAGUC
Molecule: ribosomal RNA, 441 nt
Filed under: uncultured bacterium
Lineage: Bacteria
Description: partial 16S ribosomal RNA
Rfam family: Bacterial small subunit ribosomal RNA
Source: RNAcentral